RNAcentral lists this ribosomal RNA (365 nucleotides) under uncultured eukaryote. Its description in RNAcentral is "partial 18S ribosomal RNA". It matches the Rfam family "Eukaryotic small subunit ribosomal RNA", at positions 592 to 976 of the family's 1831-position model. The record is from RNAcentral.
CAAUAGCGUAUAUUAAAGUUGUUGCAGUUAAAAAGCUCGUAGUUGAAACUUUAGCCUCGUAUACCGACUCUAAGUCAGGUAUACAGAGCUGAUACUCGCAAAGAUGUCAUCACGCAUUAGCUUGUGUGGUGAUGGAGUUGCGUCGUUUACUGUGAACAAAUUAGGGUGUUUAAAGCAGGCUUACGCUUGAAUACAUUAGCAUGGAAUAAUGAGAUAUGACUUUGGUUGUAUUUUGUUGGUGACCACCGAAGUAAUGAUUGAUAGAAACAGUUGUGGGUAUUCGUAUGAGCAUGUCAGAGGUGAAAUUCUUGGAUUUUGAUCAGACGAACUACUGCGAAAGCAUUUACCAAGGAUGUUUUCAUUAA